UUUCACUUCCUCCUGAACUCUUAAAACUUUUUUCAUCAUGGUCAGUCAUCGUAUCUCUUUCAUCCACGACUGUACCUUUGCCAAACAGUUUUCGCCACCCAGAUCUCCACGAUAUUGCUGUGAGCUCCCUCCUUUUCUUUCUUCGAUUUUCCAUAUGGUGAGAGGGGUUUUGCUCCUCCUUCUUCCUUCUUCUCAAAUCUGGUUCCUCAUGGAAGAUCUAGCCAGACUCUGUGUAUCCCAUUCUGGUUAGAGUAGUCAUCUCGUGCGAUGCAGGAAGAUGACGACAAAACUUGUGGAGGAGAGAGGGCUGCAAUUGAAGCAAAUUAAUAUUACGUAAAGGGAAAUUUUGGAAACAUCACUUGGAGCAUUAGGAAAGGUGGCGUGAUCAUUCAAGACUCAACAUUUAGUAAUUUCCAUUUUAAUUAAGUUGUAAUUUCGUUUAUUUUAGAAACCUUAAUUAGAUUAGGUGUUUUUGGGUCCUUUUAGUGGCAAUUUUCUAGAAGCCCAUUUUGUAGGACAUGUGGCUUUAGCUAGGGUUUCAUUUUUAGGAGGUGGACCCCACUUUUAGUGAGGAUGCUCGGCAAUUUUAGUGUGUAGCCGACCACUCCUUUUUCCAAGCACACUUUUCACUUCUUCUUGGUUUUCUAGGGUUUUGUAAUGACACUCUCAUGGAGAACUUGCUAUGUGCUUUGAUUGUGACCAUUUGAAUGANCAAAGUUGCAUAUUUUCUUUGUCUCUUGCUUUCAUCUUGGUUAUCUUGGCUUGGUAGAAGUAGAAAANCGUCCCAUUCCCCAUCUCUUUUCUUGUUCUUUGAAGUUGGAAGCAUGAACUUGNGAGCUUUUCUUUGCAUUUUCAUGGUGGUUCUUGAGUUUGAAUGAAAGUNUAUUUCGUUUUCCUCUUCAUUUGCUGCAAUACUCACGGUUUUCAUUUCACUUAACUUGGUUGGAUAAUGAAAAUGGANUUCUUGUUGAGUUUUNGNUUGAAGGAAGCUUAAGUUGAUGUG
This is a long non-coding RNA of Vigna radiata var. radiata (mung bean), 1003 nucleotides long. RefSeq lists it as uncharacterized. Lineage: Eukaryota; Viridiplantae; Streptophyta; Magnoliopsida; Fabales; Fabaceae. The transcript has 3 exons. The record is from RefSeq and is a predicted model, not a curated record.